UGGGGAAUCUUGGACAAUGGGCGAAAGCCUGAUGGAGCGACGUCGCGUGAUGGACGAAGUGCUUCGGCACGUAAACAUCUUUUUAUGUGGGAUGAAAUUAUUGACAGUACCACAUGAAUAAGGGGCUCCUAACUCUGUGCCAGCAGGAGCGGUAAUACAGAGGCCCCAAGCGUUAUCCGGAAUCACUGGGCGUAAAGGGUGUCGAGGCGGUUGUAUUAGUCGUUCGUAAAAUCUACGAGCUUAACUUGUAGGCGGCGAACGAAACGGUACGACUUGAGGUUUGGAGAGGUGCGUGGAACUCACGGUGUAGGGGUGAAAUCCGUUGAUAUCGUGGGGAACACCAAAGGCGAAGGCAGCGCACUGGCCAAAAUCUGACGCUCACACACGAAAGCUAGGGUAGCGAAGAGGAUUAGAUACCCCCGUAGUCCCUGAGCGGGCUGGCAAGGCGCAU
Molecule: ribosomal RNA, 451 nt
Filed under: uncultured bacterium
Lineage: Bacteria
Description: bacterial SSU rRNA
Rfam family: Bacterial small subunit ribosomal RNA
Source: RNAcentral